Molecule: transfer RNA, 115 nt
Filed under: Cladophialophora yegresii CBS 114405
Lineage: Eukaryota; Fungi; Ascomycota; Eurotiomycetes; Chaetothyriales; Herpotrichiellaceae
Rfam family: tRNA
About the family: Transfer RNA (tRNA) molecules are approximately 80 nucleotides in length. Their secondary structure includes four short double-helical elements and three loops (D, anti-codon, and T loops). Further hydrogen bonds mediate the characteristic L-shaped molecular structure. tRNAs have two regions of fundamental functional importance: the anti-codon, which is responsible for specific mRNA codon recognition, and the 3' end, to which the tRNAs corresponding amino acid is attached (by aminoacyl-tRNA synthetases). tRNAs cope with the degeneracy of the genetic code in two manners: having more than one tRNA (with a specific anti-codon) for a particular amino acid; and 'wobble' base-pairing, i.e. permitting non-standard base-pairing at the 3rd anti-codon position.
Source: Rfam by way of RNAcentral
GAACCUGUGACGCAGUGGUUAGCGUGUCGUUCUUAUAUUGUAUUUCCCGCGUGGAAUCCAGUAUGAUCUCUUUCGAGCAAUGCGAAAGUCGCGAGUUCAAGUCUCGCCAGGUUCA